This 253-nucleotide ribosomal RNA is filed under the name uncultured bacterium. RNAcentral describes it as "partial 16S ribosomal RNA". It matches the Rfam family "Bacterial small subunit ribosomal RNA", at positions 524 to 776 of the family's 1533-position model. The record is from RNAcentral.
UACGUAGGGUGCAAGCGUUGUCCGGAAUUAUUGGGCGUAAAGAGCUCGUAGGCGGUUUGUCGCGUCGGCUGUGAAAUCCCGAGGCUCAACCUCGGGCCUGCAGUCGAUACGGGCAAACUAGAGUGUGGUAGGGGAGACUGGAAUUCCUGGUGUAGCGGUGAAAUGCGCAGAUAUCAGGAGGAACACCGGUGGCGAAGGCGGGUCUCUGGGCCGUUACUGACGCUGAGGAGCGAAAGCGUGGGGAGCGAACAGG